GAUGAACGCUGGCGGCAUGCCUAACACAUGCAAGUCGAGCGGAUGGACGGAGCUUUUUCCUGGAUUCCGCGGGGGGCGGGGGUGUGAUGCACAGGAGUCUGCCUGCCAUUAGGGGAUGACGUCCGGAAGCGGCCGCUGAUACCACAUACGACCAGAUCCUGAAACUGGGGGGUCGUUGGACAUCACGGGCUCAGGUGAGCCUAGGUCGGGUUAGCUAGCUGGUUGGGUAAGGGGCUACCAAGGCGACGAUCCGCAACCGGACUGAGAGGAGGAUAAGCCACCCGGGAACGGAGACACGGUCCAUACUCCUACGGGAGGCAGCAGUGGGGAAUAUUGGGCAAUGGGCGAAAGCCUGAUCCAGCCAUGCCGCGUGUGUGAAGAAGGUCUUCGGAUCGUAAAGCACUGUUAGUUGGGAGGAACGGCUGUAGGUUAAUACGUUGCUGUUUUGACGGUACCAACUGAAGAAGCACCGGCUAACUACGUG
Molecule: ribosomal RNA, 484 nt
Filed under: uncultured bacterium
Lineage: Bacteria
Description: partial 16S ribosomal RNA
Rfam family: Bacterial small subunit ribosomal RNA
Source: RNAcentral